This 1544-nucleotide long non-coding RNA is filed under the name Gouania willdenowi (blunt-snouted clingfish). Its description in RNAcentral is "lncRNA (ENSGWIG00000006152.1)". Lineage: Eukaryota; Metazoa; Chordata; Actinopteri; Blenniiformes; Gobiesocidae. The record is from RNAcentral.
AUCAAGCAUGAAGCAGCGAAUGGAAAUUAUGUAUUUAUACCCACUUCAAUGUUUGAUUUUACCACUUCCUGUAUAGCUUUCACUAGAGAAUGGGAACAUAUAGUGGUUACGUUGCUGUGUUUGUGCAGAUGCAUGCACCAGCAUACUACAAGUGCAUGUUUAAUAGCAGGCAAGAAGAAGAGCAAACAACUAUGGUGAUUCCUAUUUACUGGUACUUUGCUUUGCUCUUCUUUUGGGUGGCAGAAGAUGUUGUAAGCAACAAAUUAGAUGUUUUGACGGUCAGAUUGGGGGAUUCUCUUACGUUAAACUGCACCUAUAACUGCUCUGCUCAAUUUAUCCGUGGAUGUUGGAAUACAAAGGAAAAAAAUCCUCGCUGUUACACUGGGCCGAAAAACACAAACGGCUUUUGCACAGUGUCCCUGCCCCUGUUAAAUGUGACUGUAACAGACUCCGAAAGAACAUACCGAUGCUACACAAUACAAACAGACGACCCUCAAUAUCAUGAAGAAAUUCAACGCACUGUUGCCUUUAAGCUUCAAAAUGAUACGCGCCUCCUAAACUCCACUGCAGCAGUUUCUGAUGAGCCGAAGGAAUCGACCGAAGAUGAGUUUGCUUCUGUUAACGGUACAUUUGCAUUUUGAGUUUAAAAAAAACAUUCAUCCACAUGUGGUAAAGACAGUUAAUCCAAUAUAACAGUGUUUUGUUUGUGUCAUCAGGAGAAUCGACGAGAAUUAAGGUUUUGGCCACAGGUGUUUUUUUCGUGGCCAUGGUUCUUGUCGCUCCUGCUGUUUAUAUCUGCGUGAAACGAAUCAGGCAAAUCUGUAACUAUAAAGGUGUGGAAAUGAUAUACACUCAAAACAAAAUUAGCAACUAUUGGGAAACCGCUUGUAUACAUAUAUUUUUAAAAUGAUCAAUUUUGAACAUUUCAGGAGAGCACGAAGGAUCAAGCUCAAGGUACUAACUUCAGUUACUAAUGUCUAUUAUAUUAGAGUUUAUCUCUUGGAGAUUUACAAGUUCUGACUGAUAUUUCAGCUCACCACAACCAACUGACACCGUCCCUUUAUCAAUGAAUGGUAGGUUACGAAACAUGUCUUUUGUUAGAAACCAAUCCUUUCAUCCUUUGGCGCAGCGCUUAUUUUAAUAUCUGUCCAUUUACAGGCACACCAUCAGUACAAAACGAAAGAGUAACUUUGAGGAUUCCUACAUCAGGUAAUGUAAUCAGUCCUCAUAACAGUGCCACACAGAUUUGAACUAAUGCCGUGUUUUUUCAACUUUUGGGGUCAUGACCCCAGGUGGGGAUGCCUGGAAUUUAAAUGGGUCACCUGAAAUGUAUUGAAAUUGACCAAACAAAUUACUGAAUAAGAAUACAUGUAAACUUUCAUUCAAAAAUAUAAAUUAUUUUUCAAAUUAAAACAGAACACACAAUGUUAAACAACAGCAUUCUGUGCUUUCAAUUUCUCAAACACAAAUCUAGUUUAGAAAAAAAUGCAGUAUAAAAAAAAGAAGAAAGACAAAAAAUAAAUACAAUUAAUUAAUUAAAUACA